GUAGGUGGAGGCCGGAGCCUCGGAGCUUCCGUCGGAUGCGCGCUGGGGGGACGAGGGACCUCACUGGCCGGACCCUGACCGGACGCCCUCCCGCCUCGCUCCCCAGGGUCGGUGUACCCCCAGGUCUUCAUCCCUCUGCUGGGUGCCGGGCUGGCGCUGGGACUGGGAGCCCUGGGCGUGGCCUGGUGGUUGCGCAGGUGAGCACGGGGGUGCGGCUUAGAGGGCGGGGCCUGCUUUGUUGGGGCGCUGUCGGAAGUGGGAAGGGCCGGACCCGAACCUCCUCUGAGAUACGAGAUCUAGACGUGGUCUUGGACGAGGCGAGAGGUCAGCCCUUGAGAGCGAGGUCGCAGGGUGUUGUGCGAAGCCCUUGCAGAAGGCGUGGAGCUAGAAGUUUGCAGCAGGAUGCGAGCGUGGGCCGCUUUGUCCCCCCCACAUAGCUCCAUUUGUGAAAGCGGAGUCCCAGAGGCCUGCAGAGGAGGAGGAGGAGGAACAGCAGGAGCAGGAGCAGCGGGAGAUUCCAGGGGACCUGGACCAGGAGGAGCCGAGCCUGCUGUAUGCAGAUCUGGACUACACGGCCCUCUGGGGGCCCCGCCGGCUGUCAUCCGUGGCCCCUACUGAUGCCUCCACGGUCUAUGCGGUUGUGGUUUGAAGGGAGUGCUCUCCAUUCCACUAGCUGCUUCCUGGCCUGGCACCUAGAAGAGGAGGUCCAGGGGCCAGGAGACCUGCGUUCCAGGCUCUCUCUGCCACAGCUCUUGCUCCUUCAGUUACUCCCCUUCCUUCUAUAGCUACCACGGUUCCUUCAUCACCAGUGUCCUCUCCAAGCCAGAUUGAGCCCUGUCUCCCAUCUGAGACAUCCAUAACUCCCACGUGUUUGCCCUGUCUCUUCAGAAUCAAGCUUUUCUUUUUCGGAUUUUUGAGACAGAGUCUCACUAUGUAGUUGAGACUGACCUGGAACUCACUAUGUAGCCCAGG
This is an RNA transcript of Fukomys damarensis (Damara mole-rat), 972 nucleotides long. It is a transcript of the gene named megakaryocyte and platelet inhibitory receptor G6b, with no coding region annotated. The record is from RefSeq and is a predicted model, not a curated record. Lineage: Eukaryota; Metazoa; Chordata; Mammalia; Rodentia; Bathyergidae. The transcript is spliced from 3 exons.